GCGAACUCCUGGCCAGCGGCCGCGGUAAUGCGUAGGGGGCAAGCGUUGGCCGGAAUUAGUGGGCGUAAAGCGCGGGCAGGAGGCCUUUUAAGUCUGAUGUGAAAGCCCCCGGCUCAACCGGGGAGGGCCAUUGGAAACUGGAAGGCUUGAGUACAGAAGAGAAGAGUGGAAUUCCACGUGUAGCGGUGAAAUGCGUAGAGAUGUGGAGGAACACCAGUGGCGAAGGCGACUCUUUGGUCUGUAACUGACGCUGAGGCGCGAAAGCGUGGGGAGCAAACAGGAUUAGAUACCCGUGUAGUC
RNAcentral lists this ribosomal RNA (300 nucleotides) under uncultured Lactobacillus sp. RNAcentral's name for it is "bacterial SSU rRNA". It matches the Rfam family "Bacterial small subunit ribosomal RNA", at positions 496 to 795 of the family's 1533-position model. Lineage: Bacteria; Bacillati; Bacillota; Bacilli; Lactobacillales; Lactobacillaceae. The record is from RNAcentral.